Molecule: transfer RNA, 71 nt
Filed under: Marmota monax (woodchuck)
Lineage: Eukaryota; Metazoa; Chordata; Mammalia; Rodentia; Sciuridae
Description: tRNA.Ala
Rfam family: tRNA
About the family: Transfer RNA (tRNA) molecules are approximately 80 nucleotides in length. Their secondary structure includes four short double-helical elements and three loops (D, anti-codon, and T loops).
Source: RNAcentral
GGGGUUGUGGCUCAGUGGUAGAGUGCUCGCCUAGCACAUGUGAGGCCCUGGGUUCGAUUCCCAGCACCACA